ACUCAAAUGAAUUGACGGGGACCCGCACAAGCGGUGGAGCAUGUGGUUUAAUUCGAGGCUACGCGAAGAACCUUACCCAGGCUUGACAUGGUUAAGACAGCGCAUGAAAGUGCGUCUCUCCGCAAGGAGCUUUUCCACAGGUGCUGCAUGGCUGUCGUCAGCUCGUGCUGUGAAGUGUUGGGUUAAGUCCCGCAACGAGCGCAACCUUUGUCCUUAGUUGCCAUCAGGUUAAGCUGGGCACUCUAGGGAGACUGCCGGUGAUAAACUGGAGGAAGGAGGAGACGACGUCAAGUCAGUAUGGCCCUUAUGCCUGGGGCUACACACGUGCUACAAUGGCCGUUACAAAGGGCUGCAAACUCGCAAGAGCCAGCAAAUCCCAAAAAGACGGCCUCAGUUCAGAUUGGGGGCUGCAACUCGCCCCCAUGAAGUCGGAAUCGCUAGUAACGGUAGAUCAGCAUCGCUACCGUGAAUACGUUCCCGGGUCUUGCACACACCGCCCGU
RNAcentral lists this ribosomal RNA (501 nucleotides) under uncultured bacterium. RNAcentral describes it as "partial 16S ribosomal RNA". It matches the Rfam family "Bacterial small subunit ribosomal RNA", at positions 899 to 1397 of the family's 1533-position model. The record is from RNAcentral.